CCUACGGGAGGCAGCAGUGGGGAAUAUUGGACAAUGGGCGCAAGCCUGAUCCAGCAAUGCCGCGUGAGUGAUGAAGGCCUUAGGGUCGUAAAGCUCUUUUACCAGGGAUGAUAAUGACAGUACCUGGAGAAUAAGCUCCGGCUAACUCCGUGCCAGCAGCCGCGGUAAUACGGAGGGAGCUAGCGUUGUUCGGAAUUACUGGGCGUAAAGCGCACGUAGGCGGUUAUUCAAGUCAGAGGUGAAAGCCCGGGGCUCAACCCCGGAACGGCCUUUGAAACUAGGUAGCUAGAAUCUUGGAGAGGUCAGUGGAAUUCCGAGUGUAGAGGUGAAAUUCGUAGAUAUUCGGAAGAACACCAGUGGCGAAGGCGACUGACUGGACAAGUAUUGACGCUGAGGUACGAAAGCGUGGGGAGCAAACAGGAUUAGAUACCCUGGUAGUCCACGCCGUAAACGAUGAUAACUAGCUGUUCGGGCACUUGGUGCUUGAGUGGCGCAGCUACGCAUUAAGUUAUCCGCCGUCGGGUAGGUACGGUCGCGAAGAUUAAACUACAAUAGUAGUAGACGCGNGAGACGNGACGACGACGACGACGAGGGAGAGG
This 599-nucleotide ribosomal RNA is filed under the name uncultured bacterium. RNAcentral describes it as "bacterial SSU rRNA". The stretch from base 1 to 517 matches the Rfam family "Bacterial small subunit ribosomal RNA", at positions 338 to 873 of the family's 1533-position model. The record is from RNAcentral.